ACCUGGGUGGCUCAGUCAGUUGAGCAUCUGAUUUCAGCUCAGGUUAUGAUCUCAUGGUUCGUGAGUUCAAGUCCCACAUUGGGCU
RNAcentral lists this transfer RNA (85 nucleotides) under Felis catus (domestic cat). It matches the Rfam family "tRNA". From Rfam's summary of the family: Transfer RNA (tRNA) molecules are approximately 80 nucleotides in length. Their secondary structure includes four short double-helical elements and three loops (D, anti-codon, and T loops). Lineage: Eukaryota; Metazoa; Chordata; Mammalia; Carnivora; Felidae. The record is from Rfam by way of RNAcentral.